RNAcentral lists this ribosomal RNA (485 nucleotides) under uncultured bacterium. RNAcentral describes it as "bacterial SSU rRNA". It matches the Rfam family "Bacterial small subunit ribosomal RNA", at positions 29 to 487 of the family's 1533-position model. The record is from RNAcentral.
AACUAACGCUGGCGGCGUGCCUAACACAUGCAAGUCGUACGAGAAAGCCGGCUUCGGCUGGUGAGUAAAGUGGCGCACGGGUGAGUAACGCGUGGAUAAUCUGCCCUUAAGUGUGGAAUAACGUACCGAAAGGUGCGCUAAUACCGCAUAAUGCCUGGCAACACAAGUUGUCCGGCCAAAGAAGGCCUCUGUUUACAAGCUUUCGCUUCAGGAUGAGUCCGCGUACCAUUAGCUUGUUGGUGGGGUAAUGGCCUACCAAGGCUGCGAUGGUUAGCUGGUCUGAGAGGAUGAUCAGCCACACUGGAACUGAGACACGGUCCAGACUCCUACGGGGAGGCAGCAGUGAGGAAUAUUGCGCAAUGGGGGCAACCCUGACGCAGCAACGCCGCGUGAGUGAGGAAGGUUUUCGGACUGUAAAGCGUCUGUCGAGCGGGAAGAAGUGUACCAUGGCUAAUAUCCAUGAUAUUUGACGGUACCGCUAGAGG